This 1034-nucleotide long non-coding RNA is filed under the name Panax ginseng (ginseng). RNAcentral describes it as "long non-coding RNA (PGIN_LNC012070)". The record is from RNAcentral. Lineage: Eukaryota; Viridiplantae; Streptophyta; Magnoliopsida; Apiales; Araliaceae.
UGGGUCUGCCGGUCGCCCAAGACUUGCCCCUUUGUUUUACUUUCCUAAACCAAUUGAAGGCCUGCUGCAGACAAAAAAGUAACUCAUAGAUUCACUCAAUUAUCACUCCUCAAACAACAUAUAUGGUCAAGCCUUAGAAACUCUUGCACACCAUAUUUUUCUUUUUACAAAGGAAAUUAGAAGCUCUUAAUUCAUCAAGAAAAUAAAUUCUAAAUUAUAUUUCAAGUUGUUGCAAUCGGACCUCUAGAACAAAGGAGAAUCCAAAAUUGAUGCAGCUUGCAUAAAUUUUUGAUUCCUGCCUAAAACAAUCAGAAUCAAAGGAUCAUUCUCCGUGAUCAACUCUUACCAGCAAUAUUUUUCUUUUUACAGAUGAAAUUAGAAGCUCUUAAUUCAUCAAGAUAAGAAAUCUAAAUUAUAUUUCAAGUAGUUGCUAUCAAACCUCUAGAACAAAGGACUUGUGACCUGAAUCCAACAUUGAUACAGCUUACAAACAUUUUUGAUUUCCUGCCAAAAGCAAUCAGAAUCAAAUGAUCAUUCUCCGUGGUCAACCAACCAGUUACAAGUUUCACAAAUCAGUCCUUAUAUAUCACAAGGAAAUGGUCAGAUUAUCCUUUAUUCCUUGGCCUUGCUGCCAUCUAUUGCCAUGUAGUAAUAUAUGAACAAGGAUAACAACACAAAGACGUAAUUUCCCCCAUUGAGGUCAUCUUUAUAACUUGUUUAGUCAGAUCUAAGAAAAUAAAAUCAAACUAAAUAUAGUUUGAUGACCAAAUUAAAGUGAAGCCUAAAGAACCAAUUUGACAUUCAGUCACUACUAGCAGAGCAAUAUAAUGACACAAAAAAUCAGAGGAAAUAUCAUAUUUGACUCCUACAAACAAAUUACUUGGUCACUUCAAUGACAAGUUAAUAGCAAGAGAAUGCUACAAUAUACUACUAUGCAAAAACUUGUAAUAACCCAAAGGUGGAAAUAUAUCUCACCAAGUCAAGGGCCCAUAUUUCUUGAACUGAGCUUAUCUCCAAGCAAUGUAAUCUUCCAN